AAUAGAUACCCAGGUAGUCCACGCCGUAAACGAUGAGUGCUAAGUGUUAGAGGGUUUCCGCCCUUUAGUGCUGCAGCUAACGCAUUAAGCACUCCGCCUGGGGAGUACGGUCGCAAGACUGAAACUCAAAGGAAUUGACGGGGGCCCGCACAAGCGGUGGAGCAUGUGGUUUAAUUCGAAGCAACGCGAAGAACCUUACCAGGUCUUGACAUCCUCUGACAACUCUAGAGAUAGAGCGUUCCCCUUCGGGGGACAGAGUGACAGGUGGUGCAUGGUUGUCGUCAGCUCGUGUCGUGAGAUGUUGGGUUAAGUCCCGCAACGAGCGCAACCCUUGAUCUUAGUUGCCAGCAUUUAGUUGGGCACUCUAAGGUGACUGCCGGUGACAAACCGGAGGAAGGUGGGGAUGACGUCAAAUCAUCAUGCCCCUUAUGACCUGGGCUACACACGUGCUGCAAUGGAUGGUACAAAGGGCUGCAAGACCGCGAGGUCAAGCCAAUCCCAUAAAACCAUUCUCAGUUCGGAUUGGU
RNAcentral lists this ribosomal RNA (527 nucleotides) under uncultured bacterium. Its description in RNAcentral is "bacterial SSU rRNA". It matches the Rfam family "Bacterial small subunit ribosomal RNA", at positions 777 to 1302 of the family's 1533-position model. The record is from RNAcentral.